AUACGGAGGAUCCGAGCGUUGUCCGGAUUUAUUGGGUUUACAGGGUGCGCAGGCGGCCAUUUAAGUCAGCGGUUAAAUCGUGGGGCUCAACCCCAUUCUGCCGUUGAUACUGGGUGGCUUGAUUGCGGUCGAGGUUGGCGGAAUUCGUUGUGUAGCGGUGAAAUGCAUAGAUAUGACGAAGAACACCGAUUGCGUAGGCAGCUGACCAGACCGCAAAUGACGCUCAUGCACGAAAGUGCGGGGAUCGAACAGGAUUAGAUACCCUGGUAGUCCGCACAGUAAACGAUGAAUACUUGUUUUCGGCGAUAUAAUGUCGGAGGCAAAGCGAAAGCGAUAAGUAUUCCACCUGGGGAGUACGCCGGCAACGGUGAGACUCAAAUGAAUUGACGGGG
Molecule: ribosomal RNA, 392 nt
Filed under: uncultured bacterium
Lineage: Bacteria
Description: partial 16S ribosomal RNA
Rfam family: Bacterial small subunit ribosomal RNA
Source: RNAcentral